UGUUGCCGUCUCUUCCGUUUCACCUUACCAGAAACAAAACGUUUCCAUUAGCGUUUAUGGUAUAAAGCUUAAUACAAACAACGACGCUCUUUUCACCACCUUAUUCCAUCUGCGCCACCGCCCUGCAGUCUCUGAUCUAGCCGCAAAUGUCAAGCCUACCAUCGCUCUCUCUCUCAGGCUUCGAGCCCUUUCAGUAUUAAAGCCAGAGACUCUCACUUCCAUUCUAGACCCUCUCAGUCAGAGCCUCGAUAGGUUCUCUCUUGCCGGAUUCGCGGUUCAAGAUUACGCUGAUUCGUAUGAGAGUAACGAAUGGUAGCAGCAACGGACGUGAUGGGUUAUCAGUAUCUGAGCUUCUGAUGUCUCCGGAGAUUUUCAAAGCUGUGAAUAAUGGAGGAAUUCAGAAACUCUUUCCUAUUCAUUUGUGCUUGAGCCAGGAUGCAAGGUGUGCUAGGAAAUGAACUAGAAAGAUUCUUGCUUUUGGAAUUCCCAUCAUUGACAGAAUCAUAAAAUUCAACUCUAAACACAGUCUCUCUCUGUGUAUGCGAAACUAUAAUGAAGUCUACAAGGCACAGUGAGACACAUGAUUCACUCUCCUCUGUGCCAAACUAUAUCCAGAUGUUCUAGAACUAUUCAGUUCCAUGAAACUAUGAAGAAGUCUACAAGGCACAGUUGAUUUGCUGUAGAGAAGCCUUUGACUACUUUGUAGCUCCACUCCUUUCCAGUAACAAGUAGUGUUUCGUCUGUGCAAACGGGCUCACGUUGAUUGCAUUAUUGGAUAUAUGUAAACAUGAGCUGAAGUUAAGGCAGGGAAGCCACUUAAAGUUAAACCUGAUGAAGACUGUCUCAUCCACCUUUCACAGGCAUGUAUUGGUAAUAGGAAGAAGGGUGAAACUGUUCUCAUGUAUGUGACUGUUAAUGGGAAGAAGCUUGUGAUUAGAACUCUUUCUCAGGAGGAGAAGAUUCCUUAGGUCAGCUUCGAUCUGGUCUUUGAGAAGAAGUUUGAACUCUCCCACUCCUUGGUGAGAGGAAGUAUCUACUUCAUUGGCUACAAAACGCCCGACCUCGAUGAAUAGGUGGAUUCCUCUUCUUCUGAGGAUUACUCUUCUUCUGACUCAGAAGAAGAGGAGGAAGUGGAGGUCCCUUCAACUGCACUGCCAAUGUAAGUGCUGGAGCUGCUGCUUCGAGUGUUGUCAAGUCUGACUCAAAGCCAAAGGUAAAAUGAGAAAGUAGUGAGCUUUGCAUUUCGUAACGAUCAACGUUGAAUGCCGCCUCUGUAAUGUAUAAAGCUAUCAUUCAAUCAGCCUAAUUAAGAAUCUGAAAAUGCUUCUAGGAUUUAAUAUCUCUUUGAGAGACGGCUUAGCUUUUUAAGAUUUUGGUAUAAGAAAGAACAAAUAAGCAAAGAUUUUUUUGUUAAUUGUGAUUUCAGCCCAUGGCUCGGUCAAAGUGUACCGGUUUAUGUUUGUUGUAA
This is a long non-coding RNA of Brassica oleracea var. oleracea, 1468 nucleotides long. RefSeq lists it as uncharacterized. The record is from RefSeq and is a predicted model, not a curated record. The transcript is spliced from 4 exons. NCBI's taxonomy places the organism in Eukaryota, Viridiplantae, Streptophyta, Magnoliopsida, Brassicales, Brassicaceae.